CCUACGGGAGUCUGCAGUGAGGAAUAUUGGUCAAUGGGCGCGAGCCUGAACCAGCCAAGUCGCGUGAGGGAAGACGGUCCUAUGGAUUGUAAACCUCUUUUGUCGGGGAGCAAAAGACGCCACGCGUGUCGUUCCGAGAGUACCCGAAGAAAUAGCAUCGGCUAACUCCGUGCCGGCAGCCGCGGUAAUACGGAGGAUGCGUGUGUUCUGCGGAUUUAUUGUGGUUAGAGGGUGCCAAGGCGGAAGAGCACGACAGCGGUAAAAUUGAGAGGCUCAACCUCUUCGAGCCGUUGAAACUGGUGUUCUUGAGUGAGUGAGAGGUAUGCGGAAUGCGAGGUGUAGCGGUGAAAUGCAUAGAUAUCACGCAGAACUCCGAUUGCGAAGGCAGCAUACCGGCGCUCAACUGACGCUCAUGCACGAAAGUGUGGGUAUCGAACAGGAUUAGAUACCCGGGUAGUC
Molecule: ribosomal RNA, 459 nt
Filed under: uncultured bacterium
Lineage: Bacteria
Description: partial 16S ribosomal RNA
Rfam family: Bacterial small subunit ribosomal RNA
Source: RNAcentral